Molecule: non-coding RNA, 77 nt
Filed under: Pseudooceanicola atlanticus
Lineage: Bacteria; Pseudomonadati; Pseudomonadota; Alphaproteobacteria; Rhodobacterales; Paracoccaceae
Source: RNAcentral
ACAGAAACCCGUGGCGAUUUGUUACCGGAUUGCGGGCCACGGAAAAUAUUCCGCUAAAAGGUCAGUCGUCGGGGACC